This 301-nucleotide ribosomal RNA is filed under the name uncultured bacterium. RNAcentral's name for it is "partial 16S ribosomal RNA". It matches the Rfam family "Bacterial small subunit ribosomal RNA", at positions 509 to 809 of the family's 1533-position model. The record is from RNAcentral.
CAGUAGCCGCGGGAAUACGAAGGGUGCAAGCGUUACUCGGAAUUACUGGGCGUAAAGCGUGCGUAGGUGGUGGUUUAAGUCCGUUGUGAAAGCCCUGGGCUCAACCUGGGAAUUGCAGUGGAUACUGGGUCACUAGAGUGUGGUAGAGGAUAGUGGAAUUUCCGGUGUAGCAGUGAAAUGCGUAGAGAUCGGAAGGAACAUCUGUGGCGAAGGCGACUAUCUGGGCCAACACUGACACUGAGGCACGAAAGCGUGGGGAGCAAACAGGAUUAGAUACCCCGGUAGUCCCUGUCUCUUAUAA